GAUGAACGCUAGCGGCAGGCUUAACACAUGCAAGUCGAGGGGUAUAGGUUUUCGGACCUAGAGACCGGCGCACGGGUGCGUAACGCGUAUGCAACCUACCUUUUACAGGGGGAUAGCCCAGAGAAAUUUGGAUUAAUACCUCAUAGUAUUAUGAUGUGGCAUCACAUUAUAAUUAAAGUCACAACGGUAAAAGAUGGGCAUGCGUCCCAUUAGCUAGAUGGUAAGUAACGGCUUACCAUGGCUACGAUGGGUAGGGGUCCUGAGAGGGAGAUCCCCCAAACUGGUACUGCGACACGGACCAGACCU
Molecule: ribosomal RNA, 306 nt
Filed under: uncultured bacterium
Lineage: Bacteria
Description: bacterial SSU rRNA
Rfam family: Bacterial small subunit ribosomal RNA
Source: RNAcentral